GCCGGGUUCAGUGGCGCGCGCCUGUAAUCCAAGCUACUGGGAGGCUGAGGCUGCGGAUCGCUUGAGCUUAGGGCUUCUGGACUGCAGUGGACUAUGUUGAUUAGGUGUCCACACUAACUUCGGUAUCGAUAUGGUGCUCCUGGGGGAGCUUGGGACCACCAGGAUGUGUAAUGAGGGGUGAACCGGCCCAGGUCGGCGACGGAGCAGGUCAAAUCCCCCGUGCUGAUCAGUAGUGGGAUCACACCUGAGAAUAGACACUGCAGUGCAGCCUGAGCGACACAGAGAGACGCAGACUUUU
This is a non-coding RNA of Danio rerio (zebrafish), 298 nucleotides long. NCBI's taxonomy places the organism in Eukaryota, Metazoa, Chordata, Actinopteri, Cypriniformes, Danionidae. The record is from Rfam.